CUACGGGGGGCAGCAGUGGGGAAUAUUGCGCAAUGGGGGAAACCCUGACGCAGUGACGCCGUGUGAGUGAUGAAGGUUUUCGGAUCGUAAAGCUCUGUCAGACGGGAAGAAUAAGAACAGUAAAAAUAUUGCUGUUUGAUGACGGUACCGUCAGAGGAAGCACCGGCUAACUCCGUGCCAGCAGCCGCGGUAAUACGGAGGGUGCAAACGUUGUUCGGAAUUACUGGGCGUAAAGCGCAUGUAGGCGGCUAUGUAGGUCAGAUGUGAAAUCCCUUGGCUCAACCAAGGAAGUGCAUCUGAAACCCCAUAUCUUGAGUACGAGAGAGGGAAGUGGAAUUCCCAGUGUAGAGGUGAAAUUCAUAGAUAUUGGGAAGAACACCGGUGGCGAAGGCGGCUUUCUGGCUCGUAACUGACGCUGAGAUGCGAAAGCGUGGGGAGCAAACAGGAUUAGAUACCCGAGUAGUC
RNAcentral lists this ribosomal RNA (465 nucleotides) under uncultured bacterium. Its description in RNAcentral is "partial 16S ribosomal RNA". It matches the Rfam family "Bacterial small subunit ribosomal RNA", at positions 339 to 795 of the family's 1533-position model. The record is from RNAcentral.